UUUGGUGACCAUUGCAGCAGGGAUACAUCCGGUUACAUCUCGAACCCGGAAGUUAAGUCUGCUUACGCCUACGAUACUUAGUCCAUACUAGGGAAAAUAGGUAGUCGCCAAAC
RNAcentral lists this ribosomal RNA (113 nucleotides) under Leptotrichia sp. oral taxon 218. The record is from RNAcentral. Lineage: Bacteria; Fusobacteriati; Fusobacteriota; Fusobacteriia; Fusobacteriales; Leptotrichiaceae.